AUUUUUUCGUACUUCAUAAGCAUAAUGAUUGGAUGUUCAUGCUCUUGUGUGGGGUAUGCCUCCCGCAAACCUUAUUACGACUUCAGCACAUUACGCAUCUGAGG
This is a small nucleolar RNA of Molossus molossus (Pallas's mastiff bat), 104 nucleotides long. RefSeq annotates it as small nucleolar RNA U13. The record is from RefSeq and is a predicted model, not a curated record. Lineage: Eukaryota; Metazoa; Chordata; Mammalia; Chiroptera; Molossidae. The transcript has a single exon.